ACGGAACGGACUGGCGGAACCGGAAAAGCGGAAACGGAAUAGAGGGUAAAACGCGGAAAAGAGGGCAAAACGCGGAAAAGAGGGUAAAACGCGGAAAAGAGGGUAAAACGCGGAAAAGAGGGUAAAACGCGGAAAAGAGGGUAAAACGCGGAAAAGAGGGUAAAACGCGGAAAAAAGUUUUAGAAUAGUUUUUUCUUUACGAGGUAGG
This 208-nucleotide long non-coding RNA is filed under the name Paramuricea clavata. Lineage: Eukaryota; Metazoa; Cnidaria; Anthozoa; Malacalcyonacea; Plexauridae. The record is from RNAcentral.